CAAUUGUUCAGCUAUUUCAGCUCAUGAUAAAAGUUUGGUGACUAUAACAGUAAGCAAAAUGCAUUUAUAGGGCUUCUUUAUUAUUUAUCAUUAUUUAAUAUUUAAUAUUCAUAUCUUUUAAAAAGGAUUGCCUUUUUUCGGAAAUGCCUGAGUGUCCUAAUAAGAGAGAGGAUCCAGACAGGAAAACUCUGAGAGAGCUUCAGCUGCUAAGAGUCAAUGAAGCUCCAUUUGGAAAGGCAGAGUAUCUUCACCUAAAAGGUGUUUGGUUGUUAUACAAACAAUUAGUAGGAGAAGACUACAACAUCAGUUCUGUUGGCAGGGGAAGGCACAGCCAUGGCCAAUCCAAUCCAAUUAAACCAUGCCUGCGGUAUGCAGAUGAACAGCAAAAGUGUAAAUCAGAACAUUAAUACUACGCUGCUUUCUCCAAGACACUGACAACCUGAUUCUGAGAGGUGCUGAGUGCACUAUGAGGAAGCAAGGAGAUGUGCUGCAUAAAAAGCACAUAGCAUGAGAGAGGAGCUGCAAAACUAAAAUAUCUUGGAGAAUUAACAUGGCUCUCACAUCAUGUGUGGAGGGUAAUACCAGAAAUUUCUAUCCCAGAAGGAGUUGUGACAUGUCAAAAUUUCUUGUCAGCCUGAAUAAGAACAAAGAAUUGAAAUUUUUGAGUUUUUCAAGAAAUUAAGUUUCCAAGAAGACCCUACUUCUAUUCUAAGUAUGAAAAUGAGUUUACAGCAGUGCUUUAUUCUUAGCCUUCCUAUUUUGUUACAUAAUGUAUCAAGAUAGCACUGAAAUGAAGUUACUUACCUUGGUGAAAUUAAAUGUUUCCAUAACUUUGUAUAAAUAAUUUCAAAGAAAUCAAUACAUUCUGCUGGAAUACUUUGACUUGAUUGAAUCAUGAUUUUUCAGUGAAAUUUUUUUUACUAGAAAAAUAAAAGAUCACUG
This 942-nucleotide long non-coding RNA is filed under the name Struthio camelus australis. RNAcentral describes it as "lncRNA (ENSSCUG00000002763.1)". Lineage: Eukaryota; Metazoa; Chordata; Aves; Struthioniformes; Struthionidae. The record is from RNAcentral.